AUACGUAGGUGGCAAGCGUUGCCCGGAUUUACUGGGUGUAAAGGGCGUGUAGCCGGGUUGGCAAGUCAGAUGUGAAAUCUAUGGGCUUAACUCAUAAACUGCAUUUGAAACUGCUGAUCUUGAGUAUCGGAGAGGCAAUCGGAAUUCCUAGUGUAGCGGUGAAAUGCGUAGAUAUUAGGAGGAACACCAGUGGCGAAGGCGGAUUGCUGGACGACAACUGACGGUGAGGCGCGAAAGCGUGGGGAGCAAACAGGAUUAGAUACCCUGGUAGUCCACGCUGUAAACGAUGAAUACUAGGUGUGGGGGGACUGACCCCCUCCGUGCCGCAGUUAACACAAUAAGUAUUCCACCUGGGGAGUACGAUCGCAAGAUUGAAACUCAAAGGAAUUGACGGGG
This 396-nucleotide ribosomal RNA is filed under the name uncultured bacterium. Its description in RNAcentral is "partial 16S ribosomal RNA". It matches the Rfam family "Bacterial small subunit ribosomal RNA", at positions 523 to 918 of the family's 1533-position model. The record is from RNAcentral.